AACGAACGCUGGCGGCAUGCCUAACACAUGCAAGUCGAACGAAGCCUUCGGGCUUAGUGGCGCACGGGUGCGUAACGCGUGGGAAUCUGCCCUUGGUUCGGAAUAACAGUUAGAAAUGACUGCUAAUACCGAAUGAUGUCUUCGGACCAAAGAUUUAUCGCCCAAGGAUGAGCCCGCGUCGGAUUAGCUAGUUGGUGAGGUAAAGGCUCACCAAGGCGACGAUCCGUAGCUGGUCUGAGAGGAUGAUCAGCCACACUGGGACUGAGACACGGCCCAGACUCCUACGGGAGGCAGCAGUGGGGAAUAUUGGACAAUGGGCGAAAGCCUGAUCCAGCAAUGCCGCGUGAGUGAUGAAGGCCUUAGGGUUGUAAAGCUCUUUUUACCCCGGGGAUU
RNAcentral lists this ribosomal RNA (393 nucleotides) under uncultured bacterium. RNAcentral's name for it is "bacterial SSU rRNA". It matches the Rfam family "Bacterial small subunit ribosomal RNA", at positions 29 to 450 of the family's 1533-position model. The record is from RNAcentral.